AUGAUAAGAACGGAGGGACCACUUAAGAAAACCACUCAUAAAUUAUCCUCCGGCACCGCUACUGCUCGGAGCAAAAUCUCACACCUAUCCCCCGUCGCUGUCUUUGCCUCCCUAGGCCCUCGCCGCCCUUCUGCCCGACGCCCAUGCCGUUCGUUCCUCGCCGGAAUCAAGGUGAAACGUCACCGCCUUGCUUCCACACUGCUGCAGCUGCAGGUCAAGUGUUUGACAGCAAAAACUGAGCAAAAAGAGACGGAGGGACUACUUAAGCAGAUCACACUGAUUACACAGCAAAAACUGAGCAAACACAAGGCUCAGCGCACUUCUCGAUGGACAGGGUUGCUCAAAAAGUUUCACCAACAUAAUCUAAGCUGGUGGUAA
This 378-nucleotide ribosomal RNA is filed under the name Triticum aestivum (bread wheat). Its description in RNAcentral is "partial small subunit ribosomal RNA". The record is from RNAcentral. Lineage: Eukaryota; Viridiplantae; Streptophyta; Magnoliopsida; Poales; Poaceae.